RNAcentral lists this ribosomal RNA (156 nucleotides) under Betta smaragdina (blue betta). Its description in RNAcentral is "partial 12S ribosomal RNA". The stretch from base 1 to 126 matches the Rfam family "Bacterial small subunit ribosomal RNA", at positions 1385 to 1533 of the family's 1533-position model. Lineage: Eukaryota; Metazoa; Chordata; Actinopteri; Anabantiformes; Osphronemidae. The record is from RNAcentral.
ACAUACCGCCCGUCACUCUCCCCAAGGCUAAAAGUCUUAAAUAUUUUUAAUAAAUUUUACCAGCAAAGAGGAGGCAAGUCGUAACAUGGUAAGUGUACCGGAAGGUGUACUUGGACAAACUCAAAGUGUAGCUAAACAGAAAAGCAUCUCCCUUAC